CCUACGGGUGACAGCAGUGGGGAAUAUUGCACAAUGGGGGAAACCCUGAUGCAGCGACGCCGCGUGAGUGAAGAAGUACUUCGGUAUGUAAAGCUCUAUCAGCAGGGAAGAAAAUGACGGUACCUGAGUAAGAAUCCCCGGCUAACUACGUACCAGCAGCCGCGGUAAUACGUAGGGGGCAAGCGUUAUCCGGAUGUACUGGGGGUAAAGGGAGCGGAGACGGCAGUGAAAGUCGGGAGUGAAAGGCGGGGGCUCAAACCCCGGACUGCUCUGGAAACUGCACGGCUGGAGUGCAGGAGAGGUAAGUGGAAUUCCUAGUGUAGCGGUGAAAUGCGUAGAUAUUAGGAGGAACACCAGUGGCGAAGGCGGCUUACUGGACUGUAACUGACGUUGAGGCUCGAAAGCGUGGGGAGCAAACAGGAUUAGAUACCCUUGUAGUC
Molecule: ribosomal RNA, 440 nt
Filed under: uncultured bacterium
Lineage: Bacteria
Description: partial 16S ribosomal RNA
Rfam family: Bacterial small subunit ribosomal RNA
Source: RNAcentral